Molecule: long non-coding RNA, 634 nt
Filed under: Mus caroli (Ryukyu mouse)
Lineage: Eukaryota; Metazoa; Chordata; Mammalia; Rodentia; Muridae
Description: predicted gene 15641 (MGP_CAROLIEiJ_G0003043.1)
Source: RNAcentral
GGUGUCAUUGGAAGUGGCCUUUGGGGUUUCAAAAGCUCAAGCCAGUCCUGGUGUCUCUGUCCUCUUGCUGCCCAAGGAUCCAGAUCCCCAAGCUACUUCUCUAGCACCAUGUCUGCCCGUGUGCUGCCAUGCUUCUCAUCCAGGAUGGGAAGCAUUUGUGCGAGGCAUUCCAGCGCCCACUGGUUCACUUUCUUGUUGGAAUCGUGAAGCCUUGGGGUGAAAGCAUCAAAGACCUAUUGAGGGAACAAAAACACCAAGAGUUUGUGGGCUUGGCAGGCAUCAGCUGAAACUACCCCUGCAUCCCUGGAAUGGAUCCCCAGACCUGUUGCUAGCACACUCCCAGUGAUGAAGAAGAGCUCCUCUCCUCAAAAGGGGAACAGGCAUAAAGAGGAGGGACGGACUGUAUUCACAUGUCAAUCAUCCAGAACACUGGGGCAGGUCCUCUUCACUAUCAUUCACUGAUGACCUUAGCAGCCCAUGUUGCUGGUGCUGUUAUCAUUCUCCGGUUUCCCAGUAACAAGGAGGGCUCAUGGAGGAGACUGAGUCUCCUCAGAUUGCACAGCUAGUGGAGGGCUUGGGUUGCCACCUGCCCGUCAGUGUCACUCCAAGGAAAAGCAGUAAACCUUCCUGGUGU